CGGGGUGUAGCGCAGGGGGUAGCGCGCAUGGUUUGGGACCAUGAGGUCGGAGGUUCAAAUCCUCUCACCCCGACCA
This 76-nucleotide transfer RNA is filed under the name Dehalococcoidia bacterium. RNAcentral's name for it is "tRNA-Pro". It matches the Rfam family "tRNA". From Rfam's summary of the family: Transfer RNA (tRNA) molecules are approximately 80 nucleotides in length. Their secondary structure includes four short double-helical elements and three loops (D, anti-codon, and T loops). The record is from RNAcentral. Lineage: Bacteria; Bacillati; Chloroflexota; Dehalococcoidia.